AACGAGCGCUGGCGGCAUGCCUAACACAUGCAAGUCGAACGAGACCUUCGGGUCUAGUGGCGCACGGGUGCGUAACGCGUGGGAACCUGCCCUUAGGUUCGGAAUAACUCCCCGAAAGGGGUGCUAAUACCGGAUAAUGUCUUCGGACCAAAGAUUUAUCGCCUUUGGAUGGGCCCGCGUUGGAUUAGCUAGUUGGUAGGGUAAAAGCCUACCAAGGCGACGAUCCAUAGCUGGUCUGAGAGGAUGAUCAGCCACACUGGGACUGAGACACGGCCCAGACUCCUACGGGAGGCAGCAGUGGGGAAUAUUGGACAAUGGGCGAAAGCCUGAUCCAGCAAUGCCGCGUGAGUGAUGAAGGCCUUAGGGUUGUAAAGCUCUUUUACCCGGGAUGAUAAUGACAGUACCGGGAGAAUAAGCCCCGGCUAACUCCGUG
This 433-nucleotide ribosomal RNA is filed under the name uncultured bacterium. RNAcentral describes it as "partial 16S ribosomal RNA". It matches the Rfam family "Bacterial small subunit ribosomal RNA", at positions 29 to 507 of the family's 1533-position model. The record is from RNAcentral.